GUAUAAGAGACAGCAGUCGCCGCGGUAAUACGAAGGGUGCAAGCGUUACUCGGAAUUACUGGGCGUAAAGCGUGCGUAGGUGGUGGUUUAAGUCCGUUGUGAAAGCCCUGGGCUCAACCUGGGAAUUGCAGUGGAUACUGGGUCACUAGAGUGUGGUAGAGGAUAGUGGAAUUUCCGGUGUAGCAGUGAAAUGCGUAGAGAUCGGAAGGAACAUCUGUGGCGAAGGCGACUAUCUGGGCCAACACUGACACUGAGGCACGAAAGCGUGGGGAGCAAACAGGAUUAGAUACCCCAGUAGUCCCUGUCUCUUAUAC
This 314-nucleotide ribosomal RNA is filed under the name uncultured bacterium. RNAcentral's name for it is "partial 16S ribosomal RNA". It matches the Rfam family "Bacterial small subunit ribosomal RNA", at positions 495 to 807 of the family's 1533-position model. The record is from RNAcentral.